CCGCUUCCUGGGAAGUAAGGCAUAACCGAGACCUAGCCUCCCGGUAGGGAAGUUCGUCCGUUUAGUGAACAGCCCCAACUACGUGCGGACCCUCACGAGGAUACGAAGAAUUAAACCAGGGCUGGACAAGUCAGAGUGGGCCAAGGACAAGUGAGCAUUCCAGAGAAUUUCUACAUGACCAGCUGUUCAUUCUUUUAAGAGGAUGACAUUCUUCAGCUCAUCUGGAAAGGAUACUUGAAGUCUGUUAUUCACAGUCUCCAAGGGCAGGUGUAGUUGGGAAAGACAUUUCAUAUGGAAAAACAAACUUGAUAGGGUAAAAAAAAACAAAAUGAGAUGUAAUCUGGAGGCCCAAGUCAUUUUCUUAGGAGAAACUCAAAUGUAUUUGGUGUUAUCUAACCUUCUGCAGUUUAUCAGUCUGAAACAAAUGCGUUCUAUUCUCAUUUGAAAAUGUCUGAACAGCCACCAAUUUUCAAAAUCACCCAUUUAAUUAUAACUAGAGACUUUAAAGCCCAGAAUUUGCAGUUAUGUAUUUCAGAAUGAUUUAGUAAUUUCGUGAGCAACUCAGAGGUUAGGUCUACAAUGUCUGACUACGCUGCAUUAUUGAAAAUAUCAGUAGUAUAAGGAUCCCGUAGAUUGGUGAUAACUUUGCUCUCAAUUUGUUAUUUCAACAGUUACCACCAACAGUUGGUGACUUAACAAAUUAAGAGCAUAGCUGCCAUAUGCUCGUAUUUGGCAAAUAUGUCAAAAUGGCCAUAUUUGCCAAUUUUUAAGACAAUAAAUUCACAG
This 786-nucleotide non-coding RNA is filed under the name Pongo abelii (Sumatran orangutan). Lineage: Eukaryota; Metazoa; Chordata; Mammalia; Primates; Hominidae. The record is from RNAcentral.